CCGGAUAUUCGAUGAUAACUAAAAGGCCAAGUAGAAGUAAAUUAGAUGCUGCUGUGUUUCUGUUUCAUCAGCAGUACCAUUAGUAAAUUCUAAACUUCAAAACCUGUUUAUUUUGUUAUUUUUAAUCUCUGACUGACAGGUACUUUUUCCAUCCAUGGUCAUUUGUCAUUGAAGCAAUACAUGAAGGAAAGAAACGGAAACCUCCAUUAAAUGGGUUCCUGGAAGAUAAGGCUGAGACCAGAGAGUUCCUGAAAAUGUAAAAUUGGACAUUUCAGAAAUAGCAGCCUAUUGUACCAAAGCUAUCAAAUUCUAGUCUUGUUGAAAGCAGAGGAAAUACUUCUACUGACUAAGUCAAGGAGAAACCUGUCAGUUUUCGUAAAGUUUUCUGAAAAACAUUUUCUUCCAUACCAUGCAAAAUUCUUUGUAAGUGACCUGAAAAAAGUUGCAUUCAGUGUAUAAUAAUAAUGACAGAAAAUAAAAUAUCCCAUGUCUCUGAGCAAGAGGGUUUUUCAGUUCAGGUUUUAUACAUGUCUAAGAAAUUAGAAUAAUAACUGUAUUUUUCUUUGUGUCACUAGAAAAAUAGAAAUAUGUUCAACAAGGAUGCUGCAUGGUUGUAUUUCUUUUAUGAAACAGAUAAGGAGGAAACUGUAAUUGUAGAUCUGCAUUUGAAUUUAAGACACUGUGUGACUUGAGAAUGAAUUAGAUGAAACAAUGAAGCGAUAAAAUUUCUAUAUUCACU
This is a long non-coding RNA of Parus major (Great Tit), 739 nucleotides long. RefSeq lists it as uncharacterized. The transcript has 3 exons. Lineage: Eukaryota; Metazoa; Chordata; Aves; Passeriformes; Paridae. The record is from RefSeq and is a predicted model, not a curated record.